Molecule: ribosomal RNA, 654 nt
Filed under: Trichophyton tonsurans
Lineage: Eukaryota; Fungi; Ascomycota; Eurotiomycetes; Onygenales; Arthrodermataceae
Description: LSU rRNA
Rfam family: Eukaryotic large subunit ribosomal RNA
Source: RNAcentral
UAAGUUCCUUGGAACAGGACGUCAGAGAGGGUGAGAAUCCCGUCUUGGGCGGGCGGUCCGCGCCCGUGUGAAGCUCCUUCGACGAGUCGAGUUGUUUGGGAAUGCAGCUCUAAGCGGGUGGUAAAUUUCAUCUAAAGCUAAAUAUUGGCCGGAGACCGAUAGCGCACAAGUAGAGUGAUCGAAAGGUUAAAAGCACCUUGAAAAGGGAGUUAAACAGCACGUGAAAUUGUUGAAAGGGAAGCGCUUGCGGCCAGACUCGGGGGCGGGGUUCAGCGGGUGCUCGUCGCCCGUGUAUUCCUCGUUUCCCGGGCCAGCAUCAGUUUCGACGGCCGGUCAAAGGCCCCCGGAAUGUGUCGUCUCUCGGGACGUCUUAUAGCCGGGGGUGCAAUGCGGCCCGUCGGGACUGAGGAACGCGCUCCGGCUCGGAUGCUGGCGUAAUGGCCGUAAGCGGCCCGUCUUGAAACACGGACCAAGGAGUCUAACAUCCACGCGAGUGUUCGGGUGUCAAACCCGUGCGCGCAGUGAAAGCGAACGGAGGUGGGAGCCCUAGGGCGCACCAUCGACCGAUCCUGAAGUCUUCGGAUGGAUUUGAGUAGGAGCGUGGCCGUUGGGACCCGAAAGAUGGUGAACUAUGCCUGAAUAGGGUGAAGCCAG